CAGACAUUAACAAGCCUUUCAUCUGUCUCCCUAGGUUGGGAGGCACCUUCCCAGGUGUCACAAGAUGUAAAUCCUGAAGGAGCCUGGUUUGGUGUGAUGUCUACUGGCUGUGCUGAGUGAUGAACCCCAGAUUUGGGAAGUGACCCUUCUACACACCUGGACUCUUAUGAGAAGACUAAGAAAGGGAUGGCAUCGAAG
Molecule: long non-coding RNA, 198 nt
Organism: Choloepus didactylus (southern two-toed sloth)
Lineage: Eukaryota; Metazoa; Chordata; Mammalia; Pilosa; Megalonychidae
Exons: 3
Source: RefSeq, a predicted model, not a curated record